GACGAACGCUGGCGGCGUGCUUAACACAUGCAAGUCGAACGGAAAGGCCCUGCUUUUGUGGGGUGCUCGAGUGGCGAACGGGUGAGUAACACGUGAGUAGCCUGCCCUUGACUUUGGGAUAACUUCAGGAAACUGGGGCUAAUACCGGAUAGGAGCUCCUGCUGCAUGGUGGGGGUUGGAAAGUUUCGGCGGUUGGGGAUGGACUCGCGGCUUAUCAGCUUGUUGGUGGGGUAGUGGCUUACCAAGGCUUUGACGGGUAGCCGGCCUGAGAGGGUGACCGGCCACAUUGGGACUGAGAUACGGCCCAGACUCCUACGGGAGGCAGCAGUGGGGAAUAUUGCACAAUGGGCGGAAGCCUGAUGCAGCAACGCCGCGUGCGGGAUGACGACCUUCGGGUUGUAAACCGCUUUCGCCUGUGACGAAGCGUGAGUGACGGUAAUGGGUAAAGAAGCACCGGCUAACUACGUG
RNAcentral lists this ribosomal RNA (468 nucleotides) under uncultured bacterium. RNAcentral describes it as "partial 16S ribosomal RNA". It matches the Rfam family "Bacterial small subunit ribosomal RNA", at positions 28 to 507 of the family's 1533-position model. The record is from RNAcentral.